Molecule: ribosomal RNA, 407 nt
Filed under: uncultured bacterium
Lineage: Bacteria
Description: partial 16S ribosomal RNA
Rfam family: Bacterial small subunit ribosomal RNA
Source: RNAcentral
AAUAUUUCGCAAUGGAGGAAACUCUGACGCAGCGACGCCGCGUGAGCGAUGAAGGUCUUCGGAUCGUAAAGCUCUGUCCUUGGGGAAGAAGAUCGAAAGAUUUGACGGUACCCGAGGAGGAAGCCCCGGCUAACUACGUGCCAGCAGCCGCGGUAAUACGUAGGGGGCAAGCGUUGUCCGGAAUUAUUGGGCGUAAAGGGUGCGUAGGCGGCCUUUUAAGUCAGAUGUGAAAGCCCACGGCUUAACCGUGGGACUGCAUUUGAAACUGGGAGACUUGAGUGCAGGAGAGGAAAGUGGAAUUCCUAGUGUAGCGGUGAAAUGCGUAGAGAUUAGGAGGAACACCAGUGGCGAAGGCGACUUUCUGGACUGUAACUGACGCUGAGGUACGAAAGCGUGGGUAGCGAACA